This is a non-coding RNA of Gossypium raimondii (Peruvian cotton), 130 nucleotides long. Lineage: Eukaryota; Viridiplantae; Streptophyta; Magnoliopsida; Malvales; Malvaceae. The record is from Rfam.
AUUUAAAAUUUUUAUUCAUUUCUACUGUUAAAAACUGACAUAACUAACAUACACAUGACGUGCUACUUGUACCGCAUGUCAACGUACAAUACCCAAUUUUUAAUAGUAAAAAUGGAUAAAAAUUUUAAAC